AUACGAAGGGGGCUAGCGUUACUCGGAAUUACUGGGCGUAAAGGGCGCGUAGGCGGCACUGUUAGUCAGGCGUGAAAUUCCCGGGCUCAACCUGGGGACUGCGCUUGAUACGGCAGAGCUAGAGGAUGGAAGAGGGUCGUGGAAUUCCCAGUGUAGAGGUGAAAUUCGUAGAUAUUGGGAAGAACACCGGUGGCGAAGGCGGCGACCUGGUCCAUUACUGACGCUGAGGCGCGACAGCGUGGGGAGCAAACAGGAUUAGAUACCCUGGUAGUCCACGCCGUAAACGAUGUGCGCUGGAUGUUGGGGUUCCUAGAACCUCAGUGUCGUAGCUAACGCGGUAAGCGCACCGCCUGGGGAGUACGGCCGCAAGGUUGAA
RNAcentral lists this ribosomal RNA (376 nucleotides) under uncultured bacterium. RNAcentral describes it as "bacterial SSU rRNA". It matches the Rfam family "Bacterial small subunit ribosomal RNA", at positions 523 to 898 of the family's 1533-position model. The record is from RNAcentral.